Molecule: ribosomal RNA, 418 nt
Filed under: uncultured archaeon
Lineage: Archaea
Description: partial 16S ribosomal RNA
Rfam family: Archaeal small subunit ribosomal RNA
Source: RNAcentral
CUACGGGGGGCAGCAGUCAGGAAAACUUUACAAUGCACGAAAGUGUGAUAGGGGAAUUUCGAGUGCUUGCACUGCAAGCUUUUGUGUAGUUUGAAACGCUAUGCGAAUAAGUGGAGGGUAAGAUACGUGCCAGCCGCCGCGGUAAUACGUACUCCACAAGUGGUGUCCACUUAUAUUGGGCCUAAAACGUCUGUAGCCGGUUUAAAGAGUCCUUGGUGAAAUCAGCAGGCUUAACCUGUUGAAAUGCUAAAGAUACUAUUAAACUCGAGACCGGGAGAAGUCAAGGGAAUUCUUGCGGUAGCGGUGAAAUGCUAUGAUCUUUAGAAGACCACCCGUAGCGAAGGCGCUUGACUAGAACGGAUCUGACGGUGAGAGACGAAAGCUGGGGGAGCGACCCGGAUUAGAUACCCCAGUAGUC